RNAcentral lists this ribosomal RNA (679 nucleotides) under uncultured Comamonadaceae bacterium. Its description in RNAcentral is "bacterial SSU rRNA". It matches the Rfam family "Bacterial small subunit ribosomal RNA", at positions 8 to 680 of the family's 1533-position model. Lineage: Bacteria; Pseudomonadati; Pseudomonadota; Betaproteobacteria; Burkholderiales; Comamonadaceae. The record is from RNAcentral.
AGAGUUUGAUCCUGGCUCAGAUUGAACGCUGGCGGUAUGCUUUACACAUGCAAGUCGAACGGCAGCAUAGGUGCUUGCACCUGAUGGCGAGUGGCGAACGGGUGAGUAAUGCAUCGGAACGUGCCCAGUCGUGGGGGAUAACGCAGCGAAAGCUGUGCUAAUACCGCAUACGAUCUAUGGAUGAAAGCGGGGGACCUUCGGGCCUCGCGCGAUUGGAGCGGCCGAUGUUAGAUUAGGUAGUUGGUGGGGUAAAGGCUCACCAAGCCGACGAUCUAUAGCUGGUCUGAGAGGACGACCAGCCACACUGGAGCUGAGACACGGUCCAGACUCCUACGGGAGGCAGCAGUGGGGAAUUUUGGACAAUGGGCGAAAGCCUGAUCCAGCAAUACCGCGUGCAGGAAGAAGGCCCUCGGGUUGUAAACUGCUUUUGUACGGAACGAAACGGCGCGCUCUAAUAAAGUGCGCUAAUGACGGUACCGUAAGAAUAAGCACCGGCUAACUACGUGCCAGCAGCCGCGGUAAUACGUAGGGUGCAAGCGUUAAUCGGAAUUACUGGGCGUAAAGCGUGCGCAGGCGGUUUUGUAAGACAGGCGUGAAAUCCCCGGGCUUAACCUGGGAAUUGCGCUUGUGACUGCAAGGCUAGAGUACGGUAGAGGGGGGUAGAAUUCCGCGUGUAGCA